This 460-nucleotide ribosomal RNA is filed under the name uncultured bacterium. RNAcentral describes it as "partial 16S ribosomal RNA". It matches the Rfam family "Bacterial small subunit ribosomal RNA", at positions 338 to 795 of the family's 1533-position model. The record is from RNAcentral.
CCUACGGGUGGCUGCAGUGAGGAAUAUUGGUCAAUGGGCGCGAGCCUGAACCAGCCAAGUAGCGUGAAGGAUGACUGCCCUACGGGUUGUAAACUUCUUUUAUAAAGGAAUAAAGUGAGGCACGUGUGCCUUUUUGUAUGUACUUUAUGAAUAAGGAUCGGCUAACUCUGUGCCAGCAGCCGCGGUAAUACGGAGGAUCCGAGCGUUAUCCGGAUUUAUUGGGUUUAAAGGGAGCGUAGAUGGGUUGUUAAGUCAGUUGUGAAAGUUUGCGGCUCAACCGUUAAAUUGCAAUUGAUACUGGCAGUCUUGAGGACAGUUGAGGUAGGCGGAAUUCGUGGUGUAGCGGUGAAAUGCUUAGAUAUCACGAAGAACUCCGAUUGCGAAGGCAGCUUGCUAAACUGCCACUGACAUUGAUGCUCGAAAGCGUGGGUAGCAAACAGGAUUAGAUACCCUAGUAGUC